UAUGGAUGUUGGCUUGUUGGAUCUUUUGGAUGCCCUGCUGAUAUUGCUCCAUUACCGUUGCAGGAUUUGUCUGGUUCCCUACUGAUGCAGGAUUCAAUAACUUGUUCUAUUAGUUAUUAAUGAUGUGCAGUCUCAUUUUGCAGGCUAUUAAUAAUUACUACAAAUGGCUAGAAAUGAAUUGCUUUGAAGGUCAAUGAAGGAGCUUUCAUUUACCUGGCAUACUUGAAGAUUGGAGUGGGUUGAUUACAUUAGUAUAUGUUUUGAAUACUGGAAGGUUUUUUCGAAUGAAUUAUGAAUUAGAAUAUAGAUAGGAUGUGUGGUAAUGGGAAUUAUAUUAGAAUUGAUUUUUUUUUGGGGAAAGCAUUAAAGGUCAUUAAAGCUUCUUGAUCAUAGAACUUUAUGGUAUGAAUUGGAAUUUAAAUGUGAAUUAAAAUGGAACUUGAGUAUCACCAUGGAAUGUAAAAAUGGACACACAUGGAAAGUCCUUGAAUAUAAUGUUGAAUGGAUAUGUAAUAGGUUAAAAUCAUGACUAUGGAUUGAUGUAAUUUGGAUAUUGAUGGAUAUGGUUAUAGGUUAUAG
RNAcentral lists this long non-coding RNA (579 nucleotides) under Lathyrus oleraceus (garden pea). Its description in RNAcentral is "Pisum sativum (pea) long non-coding RNA (PSAT_LNC018153)". Lineage: Eukaryota; Viridiplantae; Streptophyta; Magnoliopsida; Fabales; Fabaceae. The record is from RNAcentral.